AUUGAACGCUGGCGGCAGGCCUAACACAUGCAAGUCGAACGGUAACAGGAAGCAGCUUGCUGCUUCGCUGACGAGUGGCGGACGGGUGAGUAAUGUCUGGGAAACUGCCUGAUGGAGGGGGAUAACUACUGGAAACGGUAGCUAAUACCCCAUAACGUCGCAAGACCAAAGAGGGGGACCUUAGGGCCUCUUGCCAUCGGAUGUGCCCAGAUGGGAUUAGCUCGUAGGUGGGGUAACGGCUCACCUAGGCGACGAUCCCUAGCUGGUCUGAGAGGAUGACCAGCCACACUGGAACUGAGACACGGUGCAGACUGCUGCGGGAGGCAGCAGUGGGGAAUAUUGGACAAAGGGCGCAAGCCUGAUGCAGGCAUGCCGCGUGUAUGAAGAAGGCCUUCGGGUUGUAAAGUACUUUCAGCGGGGAGGAAGGGAGUAAAGUUAAUACCUUUGCUCAUUGACGUUACCCGCAGAAGAAGCACCGGCUAACUCCGUG
RNAcentral lists this ribosomal RNA (490 nucleotides) under uncultured bacterium. RNAcentral's name for it is "partial 16S ribosomal RNA". It matches the Rfam family "Bacterial small subunit ribosomal RNA", at positions 30 to 507 of the family's 1533-position model. The record is from RNAcentral.